UCGAGAAUCUUCCGCAAUGGACGAAAGUCUGACGGAGCGACGCCGCGUGAUGGAUGAAGUCCCUUUGGGACGUAAACAUCUUUUAUGAGGGAAGAAGUUAUUGACGGUACCUCAGGAAUAAGGGGCUCCUAAUCUCGUGCCAGCAGGAGCGGUAAUACGAGAGCCCCGAGCGUUAUCCGGAAUUACUGGGCGUAAAGGGUGCGUAGGUUGCGUUGCUAGUCUCGCGUCAAAGCCCCGAGCUUAACUUGGGAAGGGCGCUGGAAACGGCAAUGCUAGAGAGUGUGAGAGGCAUGCGGAACUCAUGGUGUAGGGAUGAAAUCCGUUGAUAUCAUGGGGAACACCAAAAGCGAAGGCAGCAUGCUGGCGCAUUUCUGACACUGAAGCACGAAAGCGUGGGUAG
RNAcentral lists this ribosomal RNA (400 nucleotides) under uncultured bacterium. Its description in RNAcentral is "bacterial SSU rRNA". It matches the Rfam family "Bacterial small subunit ribosomal RNA", at positions 355 to 768 of the family's 1533-position model. The record is from RNAcentral.